RNAcentral lists this long non-coding RNA (219 nucleotides) under Elaeis guineensis (African oil palm). RNAcentral describes it as "long non-coding RNA (EGUI_LNC069464)". Lineage: Eukaryota; Viridiplantae; Streptophyta; Magnoliopsida; Arecales; Arecaceae. The record is from RNAcentral.
UGAUCACCAAUCGAAUUCUCAUCUUCGGACUCUCUACCAGUGGAAGCCAUAGAAAGAGAGAACAAGAAAAGUUCAGAAAAAGAAGAGAGAAGGAUCGAGAAAGAAACCUCUAUGGAAGAAAAGAAGACCAAUGGCAAGGACAACAACGGCGACGGAAGAUCGAUGUCGAAAGAGAUGACUCACCGACAGUCAAACUCUCUGCUAAAGAGGGAGCGGGAC